CACAAUCUCACCUGAGUGACUGGAAGACCUAGACCCCAUUUAAAGGCUGACUCCCAAGGAGGAAGGGUCUCUAUCUGGAGAUCACUCCUCUUGGAGCCCUUCUGUGUGCCCAGGACACAGGCAAGGUGAAGAGAGGUGAAGCAGUGAGCUCAAGGCAAAAUGGUAAAGUGAAAGCAGAGCACUGGAGUCCAUUUCAGUGUCAUCAUGAUGAGCCGAGCCAAUGUGAAUGUGCAGAUUUAUAAUGAAGUGCCAGGGAAGAAGUUUCUCUGGAGAUCCAUCCAGCCAUGGACUGUUUUGUUUUUUUCUUCAAACCUCAUCUGCUGGAGAUGGCUCCUUUUGAUAAACGGAGGACUGGGCAUUGGGGCACACCUGGGAAGAUGGAUAUGGACACGUGUGCCCGAGAGAAGGAUUAUUUUCUGUCAUAAUGGGGCUGUUUCAAAGACAGAC
Long non-coding RNA from Gallus gallus (chicken), 447 nucleotides. NCBI's taxonomy places the organism in Eukaryota, Metazoa, Chordata, Aves, Galliformes, Phasianidae. The record is from Ensembl.